UACAGAGGGUGCGAGCGUUGUCCGGAAUCACUGGGCGUAAAGGGCGCGUAGGUGGUUGGGUAAGCGUGUGGUGAAAGCCCGGGGCUCAACCCCGGGUCGGCCAUGCGAACUGCCCGACUGGAGCACGGUAGAGGCCAAUGGAAUUCCGGGUGUAGCGGUGGAAUGCGUAGAGAUCCGGAAGAACACCGGUGGCGAAGGCGGUUGGCUGGGCCGUGGCUGACGCUGAGGCGCGACAGCGUGGGGAGCAAACAGG
This 253-nucleotide ribosomal RNA is filed under the name uncultured bacterium. RNAcentral's name for it is "partial 16S ribosomal RNA". It matches the Rfam family "Bacterial small subunit ribosomal RNA", at positions 524 to 776 of the family's 1533-position model. The record is from RNAcentral.